CACUCUUUGUAGCACUGACUGUCGGUAAACUGUGAUUUACUUACCCAGAGGGACCUGUCAUUAUCUGGGAGAGAGGCGCUAAAACAGGGCUGAGGAGGGGCUGGGCGGGGGGGUAGGGAAGAGCGAGGCUGGAGCAGAGUGGAGGGAAA
This is a long non-coding RNA of Haliotis rubra (blacklip abalone), 149 nucleotides long. RefSeq lists it as uncharacterized. Lineage: Eukaryota; Metazoa; Mollusca; Gastropoda; Lepetellida; Haliotidae. The transcript has 2 exons. The record is from RefSeq and is a predicted model, not a curated record.